RNAcentral lists this telomerase RNA (341 nucleotides) under Seriola dumerili (greater amberjack). Its description in RNAcentral is "Vertebrate telomerase RNA (ENSSDUG00000022633.1)". It matches the Rfam family "Vertebrate telomerase RNA". Rfam says of the family: Telomerase is a ribonucleoprotein reverse transcriptase that synthesises telomeric DNA. Telomerase RNAs differ greatly in sequence and structure between vertebrates, ciliates and yeasts, but they share a 5' pseudoknot structure close to the template sequence. The record is from RNAcentral. Lineage: Eukaryota; Metazoa; Chordata; Actinopteri; Carangiformes; Carangidae.
UUUCGCGGGGUGUCGUACCUAACCCUAAAUGAGGAUGACCUCCUGUGCCCAACGUUUGCUGUUUUCUCCUCUGUGUGUGGCUUUCAGUGAACCACAGGAGGUUUUUUUGUGGCGCUGGGAACGUUUACCAAACAAAAAAAGCCAAGAGCGUCACUCCGUCAUGUUCAGUUUCCCGACAGAAACACCGUGAGUGUGGUCAGCCCGGCUGCCGCGAAGAGUUGGUCUCUGUUGCUCCGGUGUCUUCAUGGCGGGAGUCUCGGCAACUGAGCAGAUAAAAACUGAGCAGGGCGACUCUACCGGGGCUCCAGUGGCCCGGUUAGGAAGCCCAAGCUCAAACACAC